CUGUGAUGCCCUUAGAUGUUCUGGGCCGCACGCGCGCUACACUGACGGAGCCAGCGAGUAUUAACCUUGGCCGAGAGGUCUGGGAAAUCUUGUGAAACUCCGUCGUGCUGGGGAUAGAGCAUUGUAAUUAUUGCUCUUCAACGAGGAAUUCCUAGUAAGCGCAAGUCAUCAGCUUGCGUUGAUUACGUCCCUGCCCUUUGUACACACCGC
This 210-nucleotide ribosomal RNA is filed under the name uncultured fungus. RNAcentral's name for it is "partial 18S rRNA". It matches the Rfam family "Eukaryotic small subunit ribosomal RNA", at positions 1462 to 1672 of the family's 1831-position model. The record is from RNAcentral. Lineage: Eukaryota; Fungi.